This 425-nucleotide ribosomal RNA is filed under the name uncultured bacterium. Its description in RNAcentral is "bacterial SSU rRNA". It matches the Rfam family "Bacterial small subunit ribosomal RNA", at positions 356 to 773 of the family's 1533-position model. The record is from RNAcentral.
GGGGAAUAUUGGACAAUGGGCGCAAGCCUGAUCCAGCAACGCCGCGUGGAGGAUGAAGGUCUUCGGAUCGUAAACUCCUGUCCGGUGGGACGAAGGCUGCGAGGUGAACAAUCUCGUGGUUUGACGGUACUACCCGCGGAAGCCCCGGCUAACUCCGUGCCAGCAGCCGCGGUGAUACGGAGGGGGCGAGCGUUAUUCGGAAUUAUUGGGCGUAAAGGGCGCGUAGGCGGCUUUCUAAGUCAAAGGUGAAAUCCCUCGGCUCAACUGAGGAACUGCCUUUGAAACUGGAAGGCUUGAGGGCGGGAGGGGGUAGCGGAAUUCCCAGUGUAGCGGUGAAAUGCGUAGAUAUUGGGAGGAACACCAGUGGCGAAGGCGGCUACCUGGACCGGUUCUGACGCUGAUGCGCGAAAGCGUGGGUAGCAAAC